RNAcentral lists this ribosomal RNA (1246 nucleotides) under Salmonella enterica subsp. enterica serovar Montevideo. RNAcentral describes it as "partial 23S ribosomal RNA". It matches the Rfam family "Bacterial large subunit ribosomal RNA", at positions 1714 to 2925 of the family's 2925-position model. The record is from RNAcentral. Lineage: Bacteria; Pseudomonadati; Pseudomonadota; Gammaproteobacteria; Enterobacterales; Enterobacteriaceae.
UAGGCAAAAUGGUGCCGUAACUUCGGGAGAAGGCACGCUGACACGUAGGUGAAGUGAUUUACUCAUGGAGCUGAAGUCAGUCGAAGAUACCAGCUGGCUGCAACUGUUUAUUAAAAACACAGCACUGUGCAAACACGAAAGUGGACGUAUACGGUGUGACGCCUGCCCGGUGCCGGAAGGUUAAUUGAUGGGGUCAGCGCAAGCGAAGCUCCUGAUCGAAGCCCCGGUAAACGGCGGCCGUAACUAUAACGGUCCUAAGGUAGCGAAAUUCCUUGUCGGGUAAGUUCCGACCUGCACGAAUGGCGUAAUGAUGGCCAGGCUGUCUCCACCCGAGACUCAGUGAAAUUGAACUCGCUGUGAAGAUGCAGUGUACCCGCGGCAAGACGGAAAGACCCCGUGAACCUUUACUAUAGCUUGACACUGAACAUUGAGCCUUGAUGUGUAGGAUAGGUGGGAGGCUUUGAAGUGUGGACGCCAGUCUGCAUGGAGCCGACCUUGAAAUACCACCCUUUAAUGUUUGAUGUUCUAACGUGGACCCGUGAUCCGGGUUGCGGACAGUGUCUGGUGGGUAGUUUGACUGGGGCGGUCUCCUCCUAAAGAGUAACGGAGGAGCACGAAGGUUGGCUAAUCCUGGUCGGACAUCAGGAGGUUAGUGCAAUGGCAUAAGCCAGCUUGACUGCGAGCGUGACGGCGCGAGCAGGUGCGAAAGCAGGUCAUAGUGAUCCGGUGGUUCUGAAUGGAAGGGCCAUCGCUCAACGGAUAAAAGGUACUCCGGGGAUAACAGGCUGAUACCGCCCAAGAGUUCAUAUCGACGGCGGUGUUUGGCACCUCGAUGUCGGCUCAUCACAUCCUGGGGCUGAAGUAGGUCCCAAGGGUAUGGCUGUUCGCCAUUUAAAGUGGUACGCGAGCUGGGUUUAGAACGUCGUGAGACAGUUCGGUCCCUAUCUGCCGUGGGCGCUGGAGAACUGAGGGGGGCUGCUCCUAGUACGAGAGGACCGGAGUGGACGCAUCACUGGUGUUCGGGUUGUCAUGCCAAUGGCACUGCCCGGUAGCUAAAUGCGGAAGAGAUAAGUGCUGAAAGCAUCUAAGCACGAAACUUGCCCCGAGAUGAGUUCUCCCUGAGACUUUAGGUCUCCUGAAGGAACGUUGAAGACGACGACGUUGAUAGGCCGGGUGUGUAAGCGCAGCGAUGCGUUGAGCUAACCGGUACUAAUGAACCGUGAGGCUUAACCUUACAACGCCGAAG